CACGUAGUUAGCCGGUGCUUAUUCUUCAGGUACCGUCAUUAGCAAAGGAUAUUAGCCCUCACCAUUUCUUCCCUGACAAAAGAGCUUUACAACCCGAAGGCCUUCUUCACUCACGCGGCAUUGCUGGAUCAGGCUUGCGCCCAUUGUCCAAAAUUCCCCACUGCUGCCUCCCGUAGGAGUCUGGACCGUGUCUCAGUUCCAGUGUGGCUGGUCGUCCUCUCAGACCAGCUACUGAUCGUCGCCUUGGUGAGCCUUUACCUCACCAACUAGCUAAUCAGAUAUCGGCCGCUCUAAAAGCAUAAGGCCCGAAGGUCCCCUACUUUCAUCCGUGGAUCGUAUGCGGUAUUAGCGUAACUUUCGCUACGUUAUCCCCCACUUCUAGGUACGUUCCGAUAUAUUACUCACCCGUUCGCCACUCGUCAGCGGAGCAAGCUCCCUGUUACCGUUCGACUUGCAUGUGUAAAGCAUGCCGCCAGCGUUCAAUCUGAGCCAGGAUCAAA
RNAcentral lists this ribosomal RNA (500 nucleotides) under uncultured Massilia sp. RNAcentral's name for it is "partial 16S ribosomal RNA". Lineage: Bacteria; Pseudomonadati; Pseudomonadota; Betaproteobacteria; Burkholderiales; Oxalobacteraceae. The record is from RNAcentral.